Molecule: ribosomal RNA, 361 nt
Filed under: uncultured bacterium
Lineage: Bacteria
Description: partial 16S ribosomal RNA
Rfam family: Bacterial small subunit ribosomal RNA
Source: RNAcentral
CCUACGGGAGGCAGCAGUGAGGAAUAUUUGUCAAUGGGCGGAAGCCUGAACCAGCCAAGUAGCGUGCAGGAUGACGGCCCUACGGGUUGUAAACGUCUUUUAUACGGGAAUAACUCUCCUUACGUGUAGGGCUGUGGAUUUACCGUAUGUAUAAGGACCGGCUUGUCACGUUACAUCAGCCGCGGUGAGUAGGGAGGUCCGGGUGAUGCACGGAGUUGUUGGGUUUAAAGGGAGCGUAUGGUGCAUGUCAAGUUUGCUGUGAAAUGUCCGGGCUCAACCCGCGCCUUGCAGUGGAAACUUGCGUGCUUGAGUUGGAGGGAGGUAGGCGGAAUUCGAGGUGUAGCGGUGAAAUGCGUAGAUA